GACGAACGCUGGCGGCGUGCUUAACACAUGCAAGUCGAACGAAGAGCGAUGGAAGCUUGCUUCUAUCAAUCUUAGUGGCGAACGGGUGAGUAACGCGUAAUCAACCUGCCCUUCAGAGGGGGACAACAGUUGGAAACGACUGCUAAUACCGCAUACGAUCUGACCUCGGCAUCGAGGAUGGAUGAAAGGUGGCCUCUAUUUAUAAGCUAUCACUGAAGGAGGGGAUUGCGUCUGAUUAGCUAGUUGGAGGGGUAACGGCCCACCAAGGCGAUGAUCAGUAGCCGGUCUGAGAGGAUGAACGGCCACAUUGGGACUGAGACACGGCCCAGACUCCUACGGGAGGCAGCAGUGGGGAAUCUUCCGCAAUGGACGAAAGUCUGACGGAGCAACGCCGCGUGAGUGAUGACGGCCUUCGGGUUGUAAAGCUCUGUUAAUCGGGACGAUGAGGCCUUCUUGCGAGU
Molecule: ribosomal RNA, 461 nt
Filed under: Veillonella sp. oral clone R48
Lineage: Bacteria; Bacillati; Bacillota; Negativicutes; Veillonellales; Veillonellaceae
Description: bacterial SSU rRNA
Rfam family: Bacterial small subunit ribosomal RNA
Source: RNAcentral